CAUCAGGACACGUUGUUUGGAGGCUGCUUUUGCCCCAUAACAGCCUGACUCUCAUCCCUUUAUUCCCCAGGGAAAGAGCCACCUGCCCAGCUGCACCUCCACCUUCCCAACACCACCAGAUGUGCCUCCACAUUGUGCUGCGCAAGGAACCGACUCCGGGGGUAAGAAGGCAGGAAUGACCCCACCACGGGUCCACGGCUGUCCAGGGGACUCCUGUGUGAUGGUGGCAUGUUCCUCCCCGGCACAGGUCACACAGGCUGGUGGCAAGGCCAUUCCAGACCGGCUCCGUGCUGCCAAGGGGUGGUGUGUGACCUCAGCAGGCACGGGGACACCACCACCAUGGUGCAGGAACAUCAAUAUCCUUCCCUGCCACCUCCACUGCUGACCCACAGCCCCACGGGAUCCCUGGCCUGUCCCUGCGGCUCCUCCAACGGCCCAGGCCGUGGACUGCUGGGUUCCCCACCCCAGCUCUCAGCAUGCCCUUUUCUGGUGCAGCCAGACCCUCCCAGGAAUCACUUUGGAGCUCAAGGCCAUCCUGCAGAGUAAGGUAAGGUCAGUUCAGUCAAAAUCAGAGCAUCCCAAAAUGGUUCGGAUUGGAAGGGACCUUAAAGACCGUCUUGUUCUACUCCCCUGCCAUGGGUAGGGACACCUUCCACAAGCCCCGUCCAACCCAGCCUUGAACACUUCCAGGGAUGGGAGAGCCGC
Long non-coding RNA from Manacus vitellinus (golden-collared manakin), 705 nucleotides. Lineage: Eukaryota; Metazoa; Chordata; Aves; Passeriformes; Pipridae. The record is from Ensembl.